UUCCUACGAAUUAUUUAUUAU
Caenorhabditis elegans is the source of this 21-nucleotide non-coding RNA. NCBI's taxonomy places the organism in Eukaryota, Metazoa, Nematoda, Chromadorea, Rhabditida, Rhabditidae. The record is from Ensembl.